GCAUAUCAAUAAGCGGAGGAAGAGAAACUAACAAGGAUUCCCCUAGUAACGGCGAGUGAAGCGGGAUGAGCUCAAAUUUGAAAGCUGGCCUUUUUGGUCCGCGUUGUAAUCUCGAGAAGUGUUUUCCGUGUUGGACCGCGUACAAGUCCCUUGGAAUAGGGCGUCGUAGAGGGUGAGAAUCCCGUACUUGACGUGGCAGCCAAUGCUUUGUGAUACACUCUCCACGAGUCGAGUUGUUUGGGAAUGCAGCUCAAAAUGGGUGGUAAAUUCCAUCUAAAGCUAAAUAUUGGGGAGAGACCGAUAGCGAACAAGUACCGUGAGGGAAAGAUGAAAAGCACUUUGGAAAGAGAGUUAAACAGUACGUGAAAUUGUCGAAAGGGAAGCGCUUGAAGUCAGCUAUGCUGUUCGGGAUUCAGCCUUGCUUUUUGCUUGGUGUAUUUCCCGGCGUGCAGGCCAGCAUCGGUUUCGGCUGCCGGAUAAGGGUAGAAGGAAUGUAGCACCCUCGGGUGUGUUAUAGCCUUUUACUGGAUACGGUGGCUGGGACCGAGGAACGCAGUACGCCCUCGUGGUGGGCCUUCGGGCACCUUCGUACUUAGGAUGCUGGCGUAAUGGCUUUAAGCGACCCGUCUUGAAACACGGACCAAGGAGUCUAACAUGUUUGCGAGUCUUUGGGUGGCAAACCCAUAGGCGUAAUGAAAGUGAAUGUAGGUGGGAGGCCUUUGGCUGCACCAUCGACCGAUCCGGAUCUUCUGUGAUGGAUUUGAGUACGAGCAAUUAUGUUGGGACCCGAAAGAUGGUGAACUAUGCCUGAAUAGGGCGAAGCCAGAGGAAACUCUGGUGGAGGCUCGUAGCGGUUCUGACGUGCAAAUCGAUCGUCAAAUUUGGGUAUAGGGGGCGAAAGACUAAUCGAACCAUCUAGUAGCUGGUUCCUGCCGAA
Molecule: ribosomal RNA, 937 nt
Filed under: Gjaerumia minor
Lineage: Eukaryota; Fungi; Basidiomycota; Exobasidiomycetes; Georgefischeriales; Gjaerumiaceae
Description: LSU rRNA
Rfam family: Eukaryotic large subunit ribosomal RNA
Source: RNAcentral